CUAAGUAUAAGCUUUUAUACGGCUAAACUGCGAAUGGCUCAUUAAAACAGUUAUAGUUUAUUUGAUGGUCUUUACUACAUGGAUAACCGUGGUAAUUCUAUGGCUAAUACAUGCGCACAUGCCUCUUCCCCUGGAAGGGCAGUGUUUAUUAGAUACAGAACCAACCCACCUUCCGGUGGUCCUCAGGUGAUUCAUAGUAACCGAACGGAUCGCGUUGACUUCGGUCUGCGACGGAUCAUUCAAGUUUCUGACCUAUCAGCUUUCGACGGUACUGUAUUGGACUACCGUG
Molecule: ribosomal RNA, 289 nt
Filed under: Toxoplasma gondii
Lineage: Eukaryota; Apicomplexa; Conoidasida; Eucoccidiorida; Sarcocystidae
Description: partial small subunit ribosomal RNA
Rfam family: Eukaryotic small subunit ribosomal RNA
Source: RNAcentral